CAGGAUUAGAUACCCUGGUAGUCCACGCUGUAAACGAUGUCGAUUUGGAGUUUGGGGGCAUGACCCUUGGGCUCCGGAGCUAACGCGUUAAAUCGACCGCCUGGGGAGUACGGCCGCAAGGUUAAAACUCAAAUGAAUUGACGGGGGCCCGCACAAGCGGUGGAGCAUGUGGUUUAAUUCGAUGCAACGCGAAGAACCUUACCUGGUCUUGACAUCCAUAGAAUCUUUCAGAGAUGAGGGAGUGCCUUCGGGAGCUAUGAGACAGGUGCUGCAUGGCUGUCGUCAGCUCGUGUUGUGAAAUGUUGGGUUAAGUCCCGCAACGAGCGCAACCCCUAUCCUUUGUUGCCAGCACGUAAUGGUGGGAACUCAAAGGAGACUGCCGUUGAUAAAGCGGAGGAAGGUGGGGACGACGUCAAGUCAUCAUGGCCCUUACGACCAGGGCUACACACGUGCUACAAUGGCGUAUACAAAGGGAUGCGAAGGUGCGAACUGGAGCGGACCUCACAAAGUACGUCUAAGUCCGGAUUGGAGUCUGCAACUCGACUCCAUGAAGUCGGAAUCGCUAGUAAUCGUGAAUCAGAAUGUCACGGUGAAUACGUUCCCGGGCCUUGUACACACCGCCCGUCACACCAUGGGAGUGGGUUGCACCAGAAGUAGAUAGCUUAACCUUCGGGAGGGCGUUUACCACGGUGUGGUUCAUGACUGGGGUGAAGUCGUAACAAGGUAACCA
This 730-nucleotide ribosomal RNA is filed under the name uncultured Enterobacteriaceae bacterium. RNAcentral describes it as "bacterial SSU rRNA". It matches the Rfam family "Bacterial small subunit ribosomal RNA", at positions 773 to 1502 of the family's 1533-position model. Lineage: Bacteria; Pseudomonadati; Pseudomonadota; Gammaproteobacteria; Enterobacterales; Enterobacteriaceae. The record is from RNAcentral.